GGGGUUAUAUCUCAGUGGUAGAGCAUUCGGCUGCAGAUCGAGAGGUCUCCGGUUCGAUUUCGGGUGUCCCCU
Trichonephila inaurata madagascariensis is the source of this 72-nucleotide non-coding RNA. The record is from the annotation of a GenBank genome assembly. Lineage: Eukaryota; Metazoa; Arthropoda; Arachnida; Araneae; Nephilidae.